RNAcentral lists this ribosomal RNA (121 nucleotides) under Petromyzon marinus (sea lamprey). The record is from RNAcentral. Lineage: Eukaryota; Metazoa; Chordata; Hyperoartia; Petromyzontiformes; Petromyzontidae.
GGCAGUGACCAACUCACCCGGAAUGCUCCCGAUCUCAUCAGAUCUCAGAAUGCUAAGCAGGGCUUAUCCUGGAUAGCGCUUGAAUGGGUAGCCACAGUGGACAACCGGGUUGUCAUCAUGU